This 452-nucleotide ribosomal RNA is filed under the name Enterobacterales bacterium. RNAcentral's name for it is "bacterial SSU rRNA". It matches the Rfam family "Bacterial small subunit ribosomal RNA", at positions 404 to 848 of the family's 1533-position model. Lineage: Bacteria; Pseudomonadati; Pseudomonadota; Gammaproteobacteria; Enterobacterales. The record is from RNAcentral.
UAUGAAGAAGGCCUUCGGGUUGUAAAGUACUUUCAGCGGGGAGGAAGGCGAUAAGGUUAAUAACCUUGUCGAUUGACGUUACCCGCAGAAGAAGCACCGGCUAACUCCGUGCCAGCAGCCGCGGUAAUACGGAGGGUGCAAGCGUUAAUCGGAAUUACUGGGCGUAAAGCGCACGCAGGCGGUCUGUCAAGUCAGAUGUGAAAUCCCCGGGCUUAACCUGGGAACUGCAUUUGAAACUGGCAGGCUAGAGUCUUGUAGAGGGGGGUAGAAUUCCNGGUGUAGCGGUGAAAUGCGUAGAGAUCUGGAGGAAUACCGGUGGCGAAGGCGGCCCCCUGGACAAAGACUGACGCUCAGGUGCGAAAGCGUGGGGAGCAAACAGGAUUAAAUACCCUGGUAGUCCACGCCGUAAACGAUGUCGACUUGGAGGUUGUGCCCUUGAGGCGUGGCUUCCG